CCGUGCAGCCGGGGAGAUAGCGGUGCCCUGUACCUGCAAUCCGCUACAGCAGGGGUGAUGCCAAACCGAGGGAUUUCUUUCUGUGGAGCUGCCCUCUAUAAGUGGCGUUGACGUUUGGGUCUUACGCAACAGGAAUCUGUGAACCGUGUCAGGGCAGGAAUGCAGCAGCACUAAGCAGAACCUUCUGUGUGCCGUAAGGGUGCCUGGGCCGAGUUAACUGUAGAGGUAACGUCCAUGGGAGAGUCUCGAAGGGCGGCGCACGG
Blautia sp. An46 is the source of this 263-nucleotide non-coding RNA. It matches the Rfam family "Bacterial large signal recognition particle RNA". Rfam says of the family: The signal recognition particle (SRP) is a universally conserved ribonucleoprotein involved in the co-translational targeting of proteins to membranes. Archaeal SRP consists of a 7S RNA and homologues of the eukaryotic SRP19 and SRP54 proteins. The record is from Rfam. NCBI's taxonomy places the organism in Bacteria, Bacillati, Bacillota, Clostridia, Lachnospirales, Lachnospiraceae.